CGGGGUAUAGCUCAGCAUGGUAGAGCGGGCGCUUUGGGUGCGUCAGGUCAGGAGUUCGAAUCCCCUUACCCCGACCA
RNAcentral lists this transfer RNA (77 nucleotides) under Sulfitobacter sp. RNAcentral describes it as "tRNA-Pro". It matches the Rfam family "tRNA". From Rfam's summary of the family: Transfer RNA (tRNA) molecules are approximately 80 nucleotides in length. Lineage: Bacteria; Pseudomonadati; Pseudomonadota; Alphaproteobacteria; Rhodobacterales; Roseobacteraceae. RNAcentral also lists the same sequence under 2 other names. The record is from RNAcentral.